AAAUAAUAUAUAUAUUGACAUGGAUUAAACAAAGAUAUAUAUUAUUCUAUGUUGUAUAAACAAAUUGGCAAAAUAGAGAUGGAAGAUAAAAAUAUGGUCAAGGUAAUAAGAGUCUAUGGUGGAUGCCUAGGAGCUUUAAGGCGAAGAAGGUCGUGGUAAGCUGCGAAAAGCUUGGGGGGAGAAGCAAACAUUUAUUGAUCCCAAGAUUACCGAAUGGAGUAAUCCAGCUAGCAAGAUGCUAGCUAUCUAUUAUCUAAAUAAUAGAGGCGAUACCAGGGGAAGUGAACCAUCUAAGUACCCUG
This 302-nucleotide unclassified non-coding RNA is filed under the name uncultured Borreliella sp. The record is from RNAcentral. Lineage: Bacteria; Pseudomonadati; Spirochaetota; Spirochaetia; Spirochaetales; Borreliaceae.